RNAcentral lists this small RNA (76 nucleotides) under Flavobacterium noncentrifugens. RNAcentral describes it as "Flavo-1 RNA". It matches the Rfam family "Flavo-1 RNA". Lineage: Bacteria; Pseudomonadati; Bacteroidota; Flavobacteriia; Flavobacteriales; Flavobacteriaceae. The record is from Rfam by way of RNAcentral.
CUGCAUCAGGGAUGGAAGCGGCAUCCUUUUAUGGAGCAACGCGAAAUAAAAGAUAAAGCGGACAGCCCGGGCCGAA